Molecule: ribosomal RNA, 521 nt
Filed under: uncultured bacterium
Lineage: Bacteria
Description: bacterial SSU rRNA
Rfam family: Bacterial small subunit ribosomal RNA
Source: RNAcentral
AGAGUUUGAUUAUGGCUCAGGAUGAACGCUAGCUACAGGCUUAACACAUGCAAGUCGAGGGGCAUCAUGAAGGAAGCUUGCUUCCUUGAUGGCGACCGGCGCACGGGUGAGUAACGCGUAUCCAACCUUCCCCUCAGUAGGGCAUAGCCCGUAGAAAUGCGGAUUAAUACCCUAUGUGGUCCGAUGAGGACAUCUGAGCUGGACGAAAGGUUUACCGCUGAGGGAUGGGGAUGCGUCUGAUUAGGUAGUCGGCGGGGUAACGGCCCACCGAGCCAUCGAUCAGUAGGGGUUCUGAGAGGAAGGUCCCCCACACUGGUACUGAGACACGGACCAGACUCCUACGGGAGGCAGCAGUGAGGAAUAUUGGUCAAUGGGCGAGAGCCUGAACCAGCCAAGUAAGCGUGCAGGAUGACGGCCCUACGGGUUGUAAACUGCUUUUAUGCGGGGAUAAAGUGAGGGACUUGUCCCUUUUUGCAGGUACCGCAUGAAUAAGGACCGGCUAAUUCCGUGCCAGCCGCGGC